Molecule: ribosomal RNA, 68 nt
Filed under: Rasamsonia eburnea
Lineage: Eukaryota; Fungi; Ascomycota; Eurotiomycetes; Eurotiales; Trichocomaceae
Source: RNAcentral
CAGGGCUUCCCGUCCGCUCAGCCGUACUUAAGCCACACGCCGGCUGGUUAGUAGUUGGGUGGGUGACC